UACGGAGGGUGCAAGCGUUAUCCGGAUUCACUGGGUUUAAAGGGUGCGUAGGCGGGUUGGUAAGUCCGUGGUGAAAUCUCCAAGCUUAACUUGGAAACUGCCGUGGAUACUAUCAAUCUUGAAUAUCGUGGAGGUAAGCGGAAUAUGUCAUGUAGCGGUGAAAUGCUUAGAUAUGACAUAGAACACCAAUUGCGUAGGCAGCUUACUACACGAUCAUUGACGCUGAGGCACGAAAGCGUGGGGAGCAAACAGG
Molecule: ribosomal RNA, 253 nt
Filed under: uncultured bacterium
Lineage: Bacteria
Also listed under: 1 other name
Description: partial 16S ribosomal RNA
Rfam family: Bacterial small subunit ribosomal RNA
Source: RNAcentral